This 21-nucleotide microRNA is filed under the name Picea abies (Norway spruce). RNAcentral's name for it is "pab-miR11461". Lineage: Eukaryota; Viridiplantae; Streptophyta; Pinopsida; Pinales; Pinaceae. The record is from miRBase by way of RNAcentral.
CGAGGAGGAGAGCUAAGAGCC